AUACUAACCUUGCGUAGGGUGUACCGUGAUCACGAAGGCGGUUGCCCCGGGCCGGCGCCGGCCAUUGCACUGCGGCCGGAUGUCGCUAGCCUGUGACUAUCUCUCAUAGAGAUGUGUCGUACGUGUAAUUUUUGGUAGUUGGACUUGCGUACUGCGCAGUCCAC
Small nuclear RNA from Maniola jurtina (meadow brown), 164 nucleotides. RefSeq annotates it as U1 spliceosomal RNA. The transcript has a single exon. Lineage: Eukaryota; Metazoa; Arthropoda; Insecta; Lepidoptera; Nymphalidae. The record is from RefSeq and is a predicted model, not a curated record.